AGUGCCAGAAAAGAGAGGUUCUAACUCCCACCCCUAACUCCCAAAGCUAGGAUUCUAAACUAAACUAUUUUCUG
Molecule: transfer RNA, 74 nt
Filed under: Hypostomus sp. PSM06-2053
Lineage: Eukaryota; Metazoa; Chordata; Actinopteri; Siluriformes; Loricariidae
Description: partial transfer RNA-Pro
Source: RNAcentral